RNAcentral lists this ribosomal RNA (253 nucleotides) under uncultured bacterium. Its description in RNAcentral is "partial 16S ribosomal RNA". It matches the Rfam family "Bacterial small subunit ribosomal RNA", at positions 80 to 334 of the family's 1533-position model. The record is from RNAcentral.
UUUCUUUGCUGGCGACCGGCGCACGGGUGAGUAACACGUAUCCAACCUGCCCUUUACUCGGGGAUAGCCUUUCGAAAGAAAGAUUAAUACCCGAUAGCAUAAUGAUUCCGCAUGGUUUCAUUAUUAAAGGAUUCCGGUAAAGGAUGGGGAUGCGUUCCAUUAGGUUGUUGGUGAGGUAACGGUCCACCUAGUCUUCGAUGGAUAGGGGUUCUGAGAGGAAGGUCCCCCACAUUGGAACUGAGACACGGUCCAA